UCGGGUGACGAGCGGCGGACGGGUGAGUAAUGUCUGGGAAACUGCCUGAUGGAGGGGGAUAACUACUGGAAACGGUAGCUAAUACCGCAUAAUGUCGCAAGACCAAAGUGGGGGACCUUCGGGCCUCAUGCCAUCAGAUGUGCCCAGAUGGGAUUAGCUAGUAGGUGGGGUAACGGCUCACCUAGGCGACGAUCCCUAGCUGGUCUGAGAGGAUGACCAGCCACACUGGAACUGAGACACGGUCCAGACUCCUACGGGAGGCAGCAGUGGGGAAUAUUGCACAAUGGGCGCAAGCCUGAUGCAGCCAUGCCGCGUGUGUGAAGAAGGCCUUCGGGUUGUAAAGCACUUUCAGCGGGGAGGAAGGCGAUAAGGUUAAUAACCUUGUCGAUUGACGUUACCCGCAGAAGAAGCACCGGCUAACUCCGUGCCAGCAGCCGCGGUAAUACGGAGGGCGCAAGCGUUAAUCGGAAUUACUGGGCGUAAAGCGCACGCAGGCGGUCUGUCAAGUCGGAUGUGAAAUCCCCGGGCUCAACCUGGGAACUGCAUUCGAAACUGGCAGGCUAGAGUCUUGUAGAGGGGGGUAGAAUUCCAGGUGUAGCGGUGAAAUGCGUAGAGAUCUGGAGGAAUACCGGUGGCGAAGGCGGCCCCCUGGACAAAGACUGACGCUCAGGUGCGAAAGCGUGGGGAGCAAACAGGAUUAGAUACCCUGGUAGUCCACGCCGUAAACGAUGUCGAUUUGGAGGU
This 744-nucleotide ribosomal RNA is filed under the name uncultured Enterobacteriaceae bacterium. RNAcentral describes it as "SSU rRNA". It matches the Rfam family "Bacterial small subunit ribosomal RNA", at positions 84 to 824 of the family's 1533-position model. The record is from RNAcentral. Lineage: Bacteria; Pseudomonadati; Pseudomonadota; Gammaproteobacteria; Enterobacterales; Enterobacteriaceae.